This 690-nucleotide ribosomal RNA is filed under the name Lactiplantibacillus plantarum. Its description in RNAcentral is "bacterial SSU rRNA". It matches the Rfam family "Bacterial small subunit ribosomal RNA", at positions 1 to 656 of the family's 1533-position model. The record is from RNAcentral. Lineage: Bacteria; Bacillati; Bacillota; Bacilli; Lactobacillales; Lactobacillaceae.
UUUUUUAGAGUUUUGGAUCCUGGCCAGGACGAACGCUGGCGGCGUGCCUAAUACAUGCAAGUCGAACGAACUCUGGUAUUGAUUGGUGCUUGCAUCAUGAUUUACAUUUGAGUGAGUGGCGAACUGGUGAGUAACACGUGGGAAACCUGCCCAGAAGCGGGGGAUAACACCUGGAAACAGAUGCUAAUACCGCAUAACAACUUGGACCGCAUGGUCCGAGUUUGAAAGAUGGCUUCGGCUAUCACUUUUGGAUGGUCCCGCGGCGUAUUAGCUAGAUGGUGAGGUAACGGCUCACCAUGGCAAUGAUACGUAGCCGACCUGAGAGGGUAAUCGGCCACAUUGGGACUGAGACACGGCCCAAACUCCUACGGGAGGCAGCAGUAGGGAAUCUUCCACAAUGGACGAAAGUCUGAUGGAGCAACGCCGCGUGAGUGAAGAAGGGUUUCGGCUCGUAAAACUCUGUUGUUAAAGAAGAACAUAUAUGAGAGUAACUGUUCAGGUAUUGACGGUAUUUAACCAGAAAGCCACGGCUAACUACGUGCCAGCAGCCGCGGUAAUACGUAGGUGGCAAGCGUUGUCCGGAUUUAUUGGGCGUAAAGCGAGCGCAGGCGGUUUUUUAAGUCUGAUGUGAAAGCCUUCGGCUCAACCGAAGAAGUGCAUCGGAAACUGGGAAACUUGAGGCAGAAGAGA